GGGUUGUGAGGUUAAGCGACUAAGCGUACACGGUGGAUGCCCUGGCAGUCAGAGGCGAUGAAGGACGUGCUAAUCUGCGAAAAGCGUCGGUAAGGUGAUAUGAACCGUUAUAGCCGGCGAUGUCCGAAUGGGGAAACCCAGUGCAAUUCAUUGCACUAUCGUUAACUGAAUACAUAGGUUAACGAGGCGAACCGGGGGAACUGAAACAUCUAAGUACCCCGAGGAAAAGAAAUCAACCGAGAUUCCCCCAGUAGCGGCGAGCGAACGGGGAGCAGCCCGGAGUCUGAAUCAGCUUGUGUGUUAGUGGAAGCGUCUGGAAAGUCGCAGGGUACAGGGUGAUACUCCCGUACACUAAAACACACAGGCUGUGAACUCGAAGAGUAGGGCGGGACACGUGGUAUCCUGUCUGAAUAUGGGGGGACCAUCCUCCAAGGCUAAAUACUCCUGACUGACCGAUAGUGAACCAGUACCGUGAGGGAAAGGCGAAAAGAACCCCGGCGAGGGGAGUGAAAAAGAACCUGAAACCGUGUACGUACAAGCAGUAGGAGCCCACCUGUUGGGUGACUGCGUACCUUUUGUAUAAUGGGUCAGCGACUUAUAUUCUGUAGCAAGGUUAACCGUAUAGGGGAGCCGCAGGGAAACCGAGUCUUAACUGGGCGUUAAGUUGCAGGGUAUAGACCCGAAACCCGGUGAUCUAGCCAUGGGCAGGUUGAAGGUUGGGUAACACUAACUGGAGGACCGAACCGACUAAUGUUGAAAAAUUAGCGGAUGACUUGUGGCUGGGGGUGAAAGGCCAAUCAAACCGGGAGAUAGCUGGUUCUCCCCGAAAGCUAUUUAGGUAGCGCCUCGUGAAUUCAUCUUCGGGGGUAGAGCACUGUUUCGGCUAGGGGGUCAUCCCGACUUACCAACCCGAUGCAAACUACGAAUACCGAAGAAUGUUAUCACGGGAGACACACGGCGGGUGCUAACGUCCGUCGUGAAGAGGGAAACAACCCAGACCGCCAGCUAAGGUCCCAAAGUCAUGGUUAAGUGGGAAACGAUGUGGGAAGGCCCAGACAGCCAGGAUGUUGGCUUAGAAGCAGCCAUCAUUUAAAGAAAGCGUAAUAGCUCACUGGUCGAGUCGGCCUGCGCGGAAGAUGUAACGGGGCUAAACCAUGCACCGAAGCUGCGGCAGCGACACUAUGUGUUGUUGGGUAGGGGAGCGUUCUGUAAGCCGUUGAAGGUGGCCUGUGAGGGUUGCUGGAGGUAUCAGAAGUGCGAAUGCUGACAUAAGUAACGAUAAUGCGGGUGAAAAACCCGCACGCCGGAAGACCAAGGGUUCCUGUCCAACGUUAAUCGGGGCAGGGUGAGUCGACCCCUAAGGCGAGGCCGAAAGGCGUAGUCGAUGGGAAACAGGUUAAUAUUCCUGUACUUGGUGUUACUGCGAAGGGGGGACGGAGAAGGCUAUGUUGGCCGGGCGACGGUUGUCCCGGUUUAAGCAUGUAGGCGGAUGUUCCAGGUAAAUCCGGAACGUCACUAACGCUGAGGUGUGAUGACGAGGCACUACGGUGCUGAAGUGACAAAUGCCCUGCUUCCAGGAAAAGCCUCUAAGCAUCAGGUAACAUCAAAUCGUACCCCAAACCGACACAGGUGGUCAGGUAGAGAAUACCAAGGCGCUUGAGAGAACUCGGGUGAAGGAACUAGGCAAAAUGGUGCCGUAACUUCGGGAGAAGGCACGCUGAUGGUAAGUGAAGUGACUUGCUCACGGAGCUGAAAUCAGUCGAAGAUACCAGCUGGCUGCAACUGUUUAUUAAAAACACAGCACUGUGCAAACACGAAAGUGGACGUAUACGGUGUGACGCCUGCCCGGUGCCGGAAGGUUAAUUGAUGGGGUUAUCCGUAAGGAGAAGCUCUUGAUCGAAGCCCCGGUAAACGGCGGCCGUAACUAUAACGGUCCUAAGGUAGCGAAAUUCCUUGUCGGGUAAGUUCCGACCUGCACGAAUGGCGUAAUGAUGGCCAGGCUGUCUCCACCCGAGACUCAGUGAAAUUGAACUCGCUGUGAAGAUGCAGUGUACCCGCGGCAAGACGGAAAGACCCCGUGAACCUUUACUAUAGCUUGACACUGAACACUGGUCCUUGAUGUGUAGGAUAGGUGGGAGGCUUUGAAGUGUGGACGCCAGUCUGCAUGGAGCCGUCCUUGAAAUACCACCCUUUAAUGGCUGGUGUUCUAACGUGGGCCCGUAAUCCGGGUUGCGGACAGUGUCUGGUGGGUAGUUUGACUGGGGCGGUCUCCUCCUAAAGAGUAACGGAGGAGCACGAAGGUCAGCUAAUCCUGGUCGGACAUCAGGAGGUUAGUGCAAUGGCAUAAGCUGGCUUGACUGCGAGCGUGACGGCGCGAGCAGGUGCGAAAGCAGGUCAUAGUGAUCCGGUGGUUCUGAAUGGAAGGGCCAUCGCUCAACGGAUAAAAGGUACUCCGGGGAUAACAGGCUGAUACCGCCCAAGAGUUCAUAUCGACGGCGGUGUUUGGCACCUCGAUGUCGGCUCAUCACAUCCUGGGGCUGAAGUAGGUCCCAAGGGUAUGGCUGUUCGCCAUUUAAAGUGGUACGCGAGCUGGGUUUAGAACGUCGUGAGACAGUUCGGUCCCUAUCUGCCGUGGGCGCUGGAGAAUUGAGGGGGGCUGCUCCUAGUACGAGAGGACCGGAGUGGACGCAUCACUGGUGUUCGGGUUGUCAUGCCAAUGGCAUUGCCCGGUAGCUAAAUGCGGAAGAGAUAAGUGCUGAAAGCAUCUAAGCACGAAACUUGCCCCGAGAUGAGUUCUCCCUGACUCCUUGAGAGUCCUGAAGGAACGUUGAAGACGACGACGUUGAUAGGCCGGGUGUGUAAGCGCAGCGAUGCGUUGAGCUAACCGGUACUAAUGAACCGUGAGGCUUAACCUUACAACGCCGAAG
This 2927-nucleotide ribosomal RNA is filed under the name Klebsiella oxytoca. RNAcentral's name for it is "bacterial LSU rRNA". It matches the Rfam family "Bacterial large subunit ribosomal RNA". The record is from RNAcentral. Lineage: Bacteria; Pseudomonadati; Pseudomonadota; Gammaproteobacteria; Enterobacterales; Enterobacteriaceae.